AAACACAUUACUAUCCGCGUGUCUGAUGCGGGGAAGUCCACGUCUUACUGGAGAGAUUCCCUAUCUGAAGCAUUCGUCCUCUCACAAUGGAGGCAGCUCACACAAAAACGACGGAGGAGGUCCUCAAGUACUUCGGUGUUGACGAAGAGGUUGGCUUGACCGACGAACAGAUUAGGAGAGCAAAGGAGAAAUAUGGACCUAACGAAUUGCCUGCUGAAGAAGGAAAACCACUGUGGGAGCUCAUUGUAGAACAGUUUGAUGACCUCCUUGUAAAGAUCCUGUUACUUGCAGCUGUAAUUUCAUUUGUA
This 308-nucleotide long non-coding RNA is filed under the name Lingula anatina. Its description in RNAcentral is "uncharacterized LOC106173055, transcript variant X1". The record is from RNAcentral. Lineage: Eukaryota; Metazoa; Brachiopoda; Lingulata; Lingulida; Lingulidae.